CACGUAGGGGGCGAGCGUUGUCCGGAUUUAUUGGGCGUAAAGAGCUCGUAGGCGGCUCAGUAAGUCGGGUGUGAAAACUCCAGGCUCAACCUGGAGACGCCACCCGAUACUGCUGUGGCUAGAGUCCGGUAGGGGAGCAUGGAAUUCCUGGUGUAGCGGUGAAAUGCGUAGAGAUCAGGCGGAACACCCGUAGCGAAGGCGGCCAGCUGGGCCGUCCCUGACACUGAGGCGCGAAGGCGUGGGGAGCGAACGGG
Molecule: ribosomal RNA, 254 nt
Filed under: uncultured bacterium
Lineage: Bacteria
Description: partial 16S ribosomal RNA
Rfam family: Bacterial small subunit ribosomal RNA
Source: RNAcentral